Molecule: small RNA, 844 nt
Filed under: Arabidopsis thaliana (thale cress)
Lineage: Eukaryota; Viridiplantae; Streptophyta; Magnoliopsida; Brassicales; Brassicaceae
Description: ATSL277740
Source: RNAcentral
AUAAUUGCAUGAUUUCCUUCUGUGUUAGGAGUUCUUAAUGCUAUUUCCUUUCUGAUCAAUUGGAAAUUGAUUUCAGACUUUCUCAACCUAAUAAGUGUUUGAUGAAAUGUCUGAACCAACUAAUUUCAGAGAUUUGUAGAUUCUAGCCCAAGACAUUGGAUGUUUAGAAAACUUAUUUUUCAUCAAUGAAAGUUGAGAUUAGGAAGUGGUAAAGUUAUGAGGAUCAUUGUCAUGAGAGUGGAUUGAUCUUGUUUUGAAUCUAUUGUCUAGGGAUAGCUUGAUUGAGUUUGUUAGUUAGCUAAAUAGAUUGAGGAGUCCACUAGAACCAAUUACCCCAUUCUUAAGAGCUCUGUUUCGUUUUAUUGUGCAUGACUCGUGUCUUUAGUCUUCUGCUCGUUCUGUUUAGUUUCUUGUGCAAACUUGGUGUUUUUAGUAUCUUGCUUGACCGGUUUAAUAUUAUGCUCGGCCGAGUACUUUACUUGGUGCUUGGUUUACUUUCUAGUCCAUGCAUUUGAUAGUUCUUGGUCUUUAAUUUCAUUCGUGCUUCUAUCACUUGUGUUCUUUACUUUCUACUUAGUAUAGUUUCAUUUCUAAAUCUGAUUUGCAUGUUAAUCUAUUGCUUAGGUUUAGUAGAACACUAAACCCACUCAUACUUGGCUUGACUUAGUACUCUAUGAUCACAUCCUGAUUGAUAGCAAUACCACCCAAUUGGAUUAACACCUUAAAUGUUGCAAUGACAUAAGAUGCAUUUAGGGAAUUGACACACAAAAUUAUUGUAUCAAUAUGACACGUUGACGCAUGAUUCACUUCUCUCUCGAAGUUAUCAUGGCUAUGGGUUUCCAUC